ACUCCUACGGGAGGCAGCAGUUGGGAAUAUUGGACAAUGGGCGAAAGCCUGAUCCAGCGACACCGCGUGGAGGAAGACGGCCCUCGGGUUGUAAACUCCUUUUCUGGGGGACGAUUGUGACGGUACCCCAGGAAUAAGCACUGGCUAACUACGUGCCAGAAGCCUCGGUAAUACGUAGAGUGCAAGCGUUAUCCGGAAUUAUUGGGCGUAAAGGGUCCGUAGGCGGUUUUGUUCGUUUCCUGUUAAAACUUCAGGCUCAACUUGAAGCUUGCAGGAAAGACAGCAAAACUAGAGUUUAACAGGGGUCAGCGGAAUUGGCGGUGUAGCAGUGAAAUGCGUUGAUAUCGCCAGGAACACCAAUGGCGAAGGCAGCUGACUAGGUUAUUACUGACGCUAAGGGACGAAAGCGUGGGGAGCGAACGGGAUUAGAUACCCUGGUAGGCUCUGCU
RNAcentral lists this ribosomal RNA (449 nucleotides) under uncultured bacterium. Its description in RNAcentral is "bacterial SSU rRNA". It matches the Rfam family "Bacterial small subunit ribosomal RNA", at positions 335 to 801 of the family's 1533-position model. The record is from RNAcentral.